This 491-nucleotide ribosomal RNA is filed under the name uncultured bacterium. RNAcentral's name for it is "partial 16S ribosomal RNA". It matches the Rfam family "Bacterial small subunit ribosomal RNA", at positions 29 to 506 of the family's 1533-position model. The record is from RNAcentral.
AGUGAACGCUGGCGGUAGGCCUAACACAUGCAAGUCGAACGGCAGCACAGUAAGAGCUUGCUCUUACGGGUGGCGAGUGGCGGACGGGUGAGGAAUACAUCGGAAUCUACUUUUUCGUGGGGGAUAACGUAGGGAAACUUACGCUAAUACCGCAUACGACCUACGGGUGAAAGCAGGGGGUCUUCGGACCUUGCGCGAUUGAAUGAGCCGAUGUCGGAUUAGCUAGUUGGCGGGGUAAAGGCCCACCAAGGCGACGAUCCGUAGCUGUUCUGAGAGGAUGAUCAGCCACACUGGAACUGAGACACGGUCCAGACUCCUACGGGAGGCAGCAGUGGGGAAUAUUGGACAAUGGGCGCAAGCCUGAUCCAGCCAUACCGCGUGGGUGAAGAAGGCCUUCGGGUUGUAAAGCCCUUUUGUUGGGAAAGAAAAGCAGCAGGUUAAUACCCCGCUGUUCGGACGGUACCCAAAGAAUAAGCACCGGCUAACUUCGU